Molecule: long non-coding RNA, 616 nt
Filed under: Olea europaea subsp. europaea
Lineage: Eukaryota; Viridiplantae; Streptophyta; Magnoliopsida; Lamiales; Oleaceae
Source: RNAcentral
UUUUCAAUUAAAAUUUAGCAUAUUGAAAAGCUUUUAUGGUGGUUUUGUUCCAAUAGAAUAAGCUCGUUGAUUAAAAUGUCAGAUUGUACAAACUCGAAGAGGUAUACUCUAACCUCUUAGAAACUAAUGAUCCGAAGAGGCCUCUUUAGUUCGUAUUUUUAUGGUUAAAAAAAAAAGGAAGAAGAUAGGAUUUCUGAUUAUUCGGAUCUUAACCGAAUUAGAUGUAAUGGUCGUUGUAAUCUCAUAUAUCCGACCAUUCUCCACCAGAAUUCUGAUUUAUUCUCAAAGAGGCGAAGAAAUAGAUUCAUCAUUCCACUCCAAUCGAUUCAAGGAAGUGAGAACGAACUAAUGCCCCGUUCCGUUCAGGUAUCUCGAUUGAAAUCCCCCCAAAUGGCAUUUUCCGUAGAAAUAGUAUUCUUGCUUAUUUUGAUAAUACUCGAUACAGAAAAAAGAAUUCGGGCAUUACUAAAUAUGGGACUAUAGAAAUGCAUUCAAUCAUCUAAUAUGAAAUAUUCAAGUUCAAAAUUAUUCAUGUCGUGAGUUCGUCGGAACGUAUCUACUUGUUCACUGUUGCUUUCAUAGAUGUCAUUCAGAGAGACAAGCUAACAGAUACCUA